RNAcentral lists this ribosomal RNA (48 nucleotides) under Rhizoplaca chrysoleuca. RNAcentral's name for it is "partial 26S ribosomal RNA". Lineage: Eukaryota; Fungi; Ascomycota; Lecanoromycetes; Lecanorales; Lecanoraceae. The record is from RNAcentral.
UUGACCUCGGAUCAGGUAGGGAUACCCGCUGAACUUAAGCUUAUAAAA